CGUUUCAGUAGUACAAAUCUGUUUGAAAGACGGGUAUUUUUUUAAUAUAUACACGUGACACCCCUUUCAAAAAACGCUGGUUGCGCCACUGCGGUAGGGUACCCGGUGUAAAAUAUAACGGCUUCCGCGGGCGAAAAUUAAUGACCCCGGCCGCGGGACGGGCGGGAUUUCGGCGUUGUUGUACCGAGAGCGACCAUAGUACGAGUGGAUCAUCGCAAACAGAAAAUUGUUCCGGAUUUAACGAACCGAGGGAACGGUAGAAAUCGAAGAAAUAGUUAGAUAAAAAACGAGUUGAGCCACCGUACGGAAAUGUUUUUCGAACAAACCGUUUCGGGAUAUCUCGUGCCCAUGAAUAGGACACUGACGUCACAAGAAAAACACGAUUUUCGAGUUAUUACUGUCCGUGUGU
This is a non-coding RNA of Cinara cedri, 409 nucleotides long. The record is from the annotation of a GenBank genome assembly. NCBI's taxonomy places the organism in Eukaryota, Metazoa, Arthropoda, Insecta, Hemiptera, Aphididae.